Non-coding RNA from Salmo salar (Atlantic salmon), 425 nucleotides. NCBI's taxonomy places the organism in Eukaryota, Metazoa, Chordata, Actinopteri, Salmoniformes, Salmonidae. The record is from RefSeq and is a predicted model, not a curated record.
CCGUUGUGUCAAGAACUGCAACGUUGCUGGGUUUUUCACGCUCAACAGUUUCCCGUGUGUAUCAAGAAUGGUUAACCAACCAAAGGACAUCCAGCUGACUUGACACAACUGCAUCCCCGUGGAACGCUUUCAACACCUUGUAGAGUCCAUACCCCGACAAAUUGAGGCUGUUCUGAGGGCAAAAGGGUGCAAGUCAAUAUUAGGAAGGUGUUCUUAAUGUUUUGUACACUCAUUGUAUGUCAGUCAGUUUAUGACGUUGACUCCUAUUUUCUCCCCAGUUCUCUGGUGUUUUAGUCAUCACAUUUCUCCUGUUAUUUACCCAAACCUGUCAUGAAUAGGUUAGACCAGGCCUGUCAUGAAUAGGUUAGACCUGGCCUGUCAUGAAUAUGUUAGACCUGGCCUGUCAUGAAUAUGUUAGACCUGGC